GACGAACGCUGGCGGCGCGCUUAACACAUGCAAGUCGAACGGAAAGGCCUGCUUUCCCUUGUGGAUUGCGGGUACUCGAGUGGCGAACGGGUGAGUAACACGUGAGUGAUCUGCCCCCAACUUGGGUAUAAGCCUGGGAAACUGGGUCUAAUUCCCGAUAGGACUGCAGGGUGGUGCCUGUGGUGGAAAACGAUUUUCUAGUGGUUGGGGAUGAGCUCGCGGCCUAUCAGCUUGUUGGUGGGGUAAUGGCCUACCAAGGCGGCGACGGGUAGCCGGCCUGAGAGGGUGGACGGCCACAUUGGGACUGAGAUACGGCCCAGACUCCUACGGGAGGCAGCAGUGGGGAAUAUUGCACAAUGGGCGGAAGCCUGAUGCAGCGACGCCGCGUGGGGGAUGACGGCCUUCGGGUGGUAAACUCCUUUCGACCGCGAGGAAGCCACCUGGUUGGAAGGGUGGUGAUGGUAGUGGUAGAAGAAGCACCGGCUAACUACGUG
Molecule: ribosomal RNA, 494 nt
Filed under: uncultured bacterium
Lineage: Bacteria
Description: partial 16S ribosomal RNA
Rfam family: Bacterial small subunit ribosomal RNA
Source: RNAcentral